AGUGCAAAUCAUAUCAAGACUAACAAUUUUUUAUUAACAAAAGAAAUGGGUCCAACAUGCUUCCAUACACUAAAUCUGAUUUUUAACCGACAAAACUCCGGCUACCUUCCUGAGGAUUUCUUACUUGGGUGUUGCAGCCUCCAACUAUCAGGGUGACUUCCUUUAAGGGCCAUUUCAGAGUCUUGCAGCAAAAUUUAGUUUCGUUUCCUACCUCUAAGACUCAGAUGUAAAUAUGAAAGUUGUGAAGAAACUUGUUUCUUUUAUUAAUAAAGCAAGUUUAGUACAAGAUAUAGGCUUAGCACAUAAAAGAAAUGGGUCCAACACGCUUCUAUACCUUAAAUCUGAUUUUUGACCGACAAAACUCCGACUACCUCCCUGAGGAUUUCUUACUUGGGUGUUGCAGCCUCCAACUACUAGGGUGACUUCCUUUAAGGGCCAUUUCAGAGUCUUGCAACACAAUUUAGUUUCGUUACCUACCUCUAAG
RNAcentral lists this long non-coding RNA (484 nucleotides) under Coffea arabica (coffee). RNAcentral's name for it is "long non-coding RNA (CARA_LNC001788)". Lineage: Eukaryota; Viridiplantae; Streptophyta; Magnoliopsida; Gentianales; Rubiaceae. The record is from RNAcentral.